ACCCAGUUCGGAUUGUAGGCUGCAACUCGCCUACAUGAAGUCGGAGUUGCUAGUAAUCGCGGAUCAGAAUGCCGCGGUGAAUGCGUUCCCGGGUCUUGUACACACCGCCCGUCACACCAUGAAAGUUGGGGGCGCCCGAAGUUGGUCGGGAAAUAGAUUACCUAAGGCGAAACCAAUGACUGGGGUGAAGUCGUAACAAGGUACC
RNAcentral lists this ribosomal RNA (205 nucleotides) under uncultured bacterium. Its description in RNAcentral is "partial 16S ribosomal RNA". It matches the Rfam family "Bacterial small subunit ribosomal RNA", at positions 1286 to 1500 of the family's 1533-position model. The record is from RNAcentral.